Long non-coding RNA from Lontra canadensis (Northern American river otter), 100 nucleotides. RefSeq lists it as uncharacterized. The record is from RefSeq and is a predicted model, not a curated record. Lineage: Eukaryota; Metazoa; Chordata; Mammalia; Carnivora; Mustelidae. The transcript is spliced from 3 exons.
UUUCCAUUUUGUUUGUUUUUGUGGAAGAGCAGCUUAAGACCACUCAGUAGUUGUUCCUACCCAUUCAGUGGCCUGAGCAGUGGGAGGUGCAGGCCUGGAU